AGAUGGCUCCCGAUCGUCAGAAUUCCUGUCCGCGCCUUGCGUCAGCCCCGCCGAAAGGAUCGCCCCCCUAGUCAAACCGCUCGCGCCCCAGAGGCCUCAUGGAGUCCCGCCUCAGGCUCGGGCCUUGGCCCCCAAAGAAAGCCACUCCGACGUGUUUGAGAUGGGCUUAGUUCCCGGACCCGUCCUACUGCCCCCAGGCGCUGGACAGCCUCAGAAAGAGGACAAGUCUGCAUGGAAAGAUAAUCGCACAACUGAGCCUUCUGGGAGAUGUAGUUCGGAGCUGGGAAGGCGGUUGGACCCUCCGAAAGUCAUCUUAAUUGCUCUCACAGAUAAGCCGGCGCUGGGCUGCCGGCCUUACUGUGCGCCCAGAGUGCGCAGGCGCAAACAUCCUGGGUUGCUGUUUUGGCCUCUUUGUUCGGGCGUGAAUUUUGUUUAUUGCUCCUUAGUGCAGAGGGGUUAUGGGACCAGAGGUUGUGAGACUCAAAACUGGUUGGGGACGCAGAAGGGGUGUAGACCAGGAACCUGCGACCUGAUGGGGGGAGGUCAAAGGGAAAGGAAUCGCCAAACGUGGGACGGGUUUGGAGAGGCAGAAAGAGAGGAGUCUGAAAUUGCAAAGGGCAGGUGUUAUUCUGACUUCUGUAUGCUUUGUGAUAAAUGAGUGGGACAGGAAGUAAGAGGAGUUUCACUUUCUCCUGCAAUUAUUUGUGUACUUGGACUAAGUGUAUCUCAUGGCCAGUAUUUGACUGCUUUUGACCUAUAAAGGUAUUGUAUACACAGUCGUGCAUAGUUU
RNAcentral lists this non-coding RNA (790 nucleotides) under Pan troglodytes (chimpanzee). Lineage: Eukaryota; Metazoa; Chordata; Mammalia; Primates; Hominidae. The record is from RNAcentral.